RNAcentral lists this transfer RNA (85 nucleotides) under Enterobacteriaceae endosymbiont of Donacia proxima. RNAcentral describes it as "tRNA-Ser". It matches the Rfam family "tRNA". Rfam says of the family: Transfer RNA (tRNA) molecules are approximately 80 nucleotides in length. Their secondary structure includes four short double-helical elements and three loops (D, anti-codon, and T loops). Further hydrogen bonds mediate the characteristic L-shaped molecular structure. tRNAs have two regions of fundamental functional importance: the anti-codon, which is responsible for specific mRNA codon recognition, and the 3' end, to which the tRNAs corresponding amino acid is attached (by aminoacyl-tRNA synthetases). tRNAs cope with the degeneracy of the genetic code in two manners: having more than one tRNA (with a specific anti-codon) for a particular amino acid; and 'wobble' base-pairing, i.e. permitting non-standard base-pairing at the 3rd anti-codon position. Lineage: Bacteria; Pseudomonadati; Pseudomonadota; Gammaproteobacteria; Enterobacterales; Enterobacteriaceae. The record is from RNAcentral.
GGUGAGAUGGCCGAGUGGUUGAAGGCGCAUGCCUGGAAAGCAUGUAUAUGGAAGCAUAUCAGGGGUUCGAAUCCCCUUCUCACCG